This 184-nucleotide small RNA is filed under the name Streptomyces acidiscabies. RNAcentral describes it as "c-di-AMP sequence". It matches the Rfam family "c-di-AMP riboswitch aptamer (ydaO/yuaA leader)". Rfam says of the family: This family represents a conserved RNA structure found upstream of the ydaO and yuaA genes in Bacillus subtilis and related genes in other bacteria. The ydaO/yuaA element is thought to act as a genetic "off" switch for the ydaO and yuaA genes in its native state. The record is from RNAcentral. Lineage: Bacteria; Bacillati; Actinomycetota; Actinomycetes; Kitasatosporales; Streptomycetaceae.
CGCCCUUCACCACCUCAUCCACGAACACUCACGUACGGCAGGAGCGGGGGACCCAGGUAGUACGCCGCGCCGGACACGUCUCCGGAGCGGCUCGGGGUGAAGCCGCGCCACCGCCCCCGGUGGCCGGCCGGGCACCUCCCCGCCCGAACCCGACAGCUCACCUCGCAGGCGCCGGAGAGGAACA